AGUACUGCCUGCCCAGUGACACUACAGUUAAACGGCCGCGGUAUCUUGACCGUGCGAAGGUAGCAUAAUCAUUUGUCUCUUAAAUAGAGACUGGUAUGAAUGGCAAGACGGAACUUAACUGUCUCCUUUUCCUGACUUUGAAACUUACUACCUUGUGAAGAGGCAAGGAUAAUUUCGUUAGACGAGAAGACCCUGUCGAGCUUGCAGCCAACAAUUAGUAUUUUAUUGACCUAACAACUUUACUAAUUUGUAUAAUAACCUUAUAAAAAUUUAGGUUUAAAAUAUCUUUAUUUCGGCUUUGGUUGGGGCAACCGUGGAGAAACAAAAUCCUCCAUUUAUAACUAUUCAAGCUAGAUUUACAAAUCUAAUAUUACUAUAUAAAUUAUAUUGAUCCACCCAGGUGAUCAAAGGAAAAAGUUACCGCAGGGAUAACAGCGUUAUCUUUUUUGAGAGUCCAUAUUGACAAAAAGGUUUGCGACCUCGAUGUUGGAUCGGGACAUCCUAAAGGUGCAGAAGCUUUUAAGGGUUGGUCUGUUCGACCAUUAAAGUCCU
Molecule: ribosomal RNA, 552 nt
Filed under: Laganum fudsiyama
Lineage: Eukaryota; Metazoa; Echinodermata; Echinoidea; Clypeasteroida; Laganidae
Description: partial large subunit ribosomal RNA
Rfam family: Bacterial large subunit ribosomal RNA
Source: RNAcentral